RNAcentral lists this ribosomal RNA (795 nucleotides) under Glomus sp. M15. RNAcentral's name for it is "SSU rRNA". It matches the Rfam family "Eukaryotic small subunit ribosomal RNA", at positions 316 to 1111 of the family's 1831-position model. The record is from RNAcentral. Lineage: Eukaryota; Fungi; Glomeromycota; Glomeromycetes; Glomerales; Glomeraceae.
UAACUUUCNAUGGUAGGAUAGAGGCCUACCAUGGUGGUAACGGGUAACGGGGUGUUAGGGCACGACACCGGAGAGGGAGCCUGAGAAACGGCUACCACAUCCAAGGAUGGCAGCAGGCGCGCAAAUUACCCAAUCCCGACACGGGGAGGUAGUGACAAUAAAUAACAAUACGGGGUCCUUUCGGGUUUCGUAAUUGGAAUGAGUACAAUUUAAAUCUCUUAACGAGGAACAAUUGGAGGGCAAGUCUGGUGCCAGCAGCCGCGGUAAUUCCAGCUCCAAUAGCGUAUAUUAAAGUUGUUGCAGUUAAAAAGCUCGUAGUUGAAUUUCGGGAUUAGUGCGCCGGUCGUGCCUUCGGUAUGUACUGGUGUUACUGGUUCCUACCUUCUGACGAACCGUCAUGUCAUUUAUUUUGGUGUGGCGGGGGAAAUCAGGACUGUUACUUUGAAAAAAUUAGAGUGUUUAAAGCAGGCUCGCGCUUGAAUACAUUAGCAUGGAAUAAUGAAAUAGGACGUUCGAUCCUAUUUUGUUGGUUUCUAGGAUUGACGUAAUGAUUAAUAGUGAUAGUUGGGGGCAUUAGUAUUCAAUUGUCAGAGGUGAAAUUCUUGGAUUUAUUGAAGACUAACUACUGCGAAAGCAUUUGCCAAGGAUGUUUUCAUUAAUCAAGAACGAAAGUUAGGGGAUCGAAGACGAUCAGAUACCGUCGUAGUCUUAACCAUAAACUAUGCCGACUAGGGAUCGGAUGAUGUUAUUUUUAAUGACUCAUUCGGCGCCUUACGGGAAACCAAAGUGUUUGGA